GCCAGCCCGCUCAGAAACUUAAAGGAAGUUGACGGGGGCCCGCGACAAGCGGUGGAGUAUGUGGUUUAAUUCGAUGCAACGCGAAGAACCUUACCUGGUCUUGACAUCCCGGAGACCCUUAGGAAACUAGGGGGUGCUUCCAUCUGGAAGAAUCUGGAGACAGGUGCUGCAUGGCUGUCGUCAGCUCGUGUCGUGAGGUGUCGGGUUAAGUCCCAUAACGAGCGCAACCCCUACCUUUAGUUGCCAUCAGGUUAAGCUGGGGACUCUAAAGGAACUGCCUACGCAAGUAGUGAGGAAGGCGGGGAUGACGUCAAAUCAGCACGGCCCUUACGUCCAGGGCUACACACGUGCUACAAUGGCCGAUACAGAGGGCAGCUACCUGGUGACAGGAUGCAAAUCUCCAAAGUCGGUCUCAGUUCGGAUCGGAGUCUGCAACCCGACUCCGUGAAGUUGGAUUCGCUAGUAAUCGCGCAUCAGCCAUGGCGCGGUGAAUACGUUCCCGGGCCUU
RNAcentral lists this ribosomal RNA (508 nucleotides) under uncultured Desulfobulbus sp. RNAcentral's name for it is "bacterial SSU rRNA". It matches the Rfam family "Bacterial small subunit ribosomal RNA", at positions 903 to 1382 of the family's 1533-position model. The record is from RNAcentral. Lineage: Bacteria; Pseudomonadati; Thermodesulfobacteriota; Desulfobulbia; Desulfobulbales; Desulfobulbaceae.